This 109-nucleotide Y RNA is filed under the name Saimiri boliviensis boliviensis (Bolivian squirrel monkey). RNAcentral's name for it is "Y RNA (ENSSBOG00000004922.1)". It matches the Rfam family "Y RNA". Rfam says of the family: Y RNAs are components of the Ro ribonucleoprotein particle (Ro RNP), in association with Ro60 and La proteins. Lineage: Eukaryota; Metazoa; Chordata; Mammalia; Primates; Cebidae. The record is from Rfam by way of RNAcentral.
GGUUGGUCCGAAUGUAGUGAGUUAUCUCAACUGACUUCACAGUUACAGAUCGAACUCCUUGUUCUCCUUCCUCCUGCCCCUUCUCAAUACUGUACUUGACUAGUCUUAA